AGUGAACGCUGGCGGUAGGCCUAACACAUGCAAGUCGAACGGCAGCACAGUAAGAGCUUGCUCUUACGGGUGGCGAGUGGCGGACGGGUGAGGAAUACAUCGGAAUCUACUUUUUCGUGGGGGAUAACGUAGGGAAACUUACGCUAAUACCGCAUACGCCCUACGGUUGAAAGCAGGGGAUCUUCGGACCUUGCGCGAUUGAAUUAGCCGAUGUCGGAUUAGCUAGUUGGGGGGGUAAAGGCCAACCCAGGCGACGAUCCGUAGCCGGUCUGAGAGGAGGAUAGGCCACACGGGAGCGGAGACACGGACAAGAGGCCGAAGGGAGGCAGCAGAGGGGAAUAUUAGACAAUGGGCGGAAACAUUGUCCAGCCAUACGACGUGUGUGAAGGAGGCGUUCGGGGUGGAAAGACCGUUUGUUGGGAGAGAAAAGCAUCAGGUUAAUACCCAGCUGUUCUGACGGUACCCAAAAAAGAAGCACCGGCUAACUUCGUG
This 492-nucleotide ribosomal RNA is filed under the name uncultured bacterium. RNAcentral's name for it is "partial 16S ribosomal RNA". It matches the Rfam family "Bacterial small subunit ribosomal RNA", at positions 29 to 507 of the family's 1533-position model. The record is from RNAcentral.